UGGGGGAUAUUGCACAAUGGGCGAAAGCCUGAUGCAGCGACGCCGCGUGGGGGAUGAAGGCCUUCGGGUUGUAAACUUCUUUUGCUCUGAACAAGGCAUGCCUUUGGGGUGUGUUGAGUGUAGGGGUUGAUUAGCGCCGGCUAACUACGUGCCAGCAGCCGCGGUAAUACGUAGGGCGCGAGCGUUGUUCGGAAUUAUUGGGCGUAAAGGGCUUGUAGGUGGCUGGUUGCGUCUGUCGUGAAAGCUCAUGGCUUAACUGUGGGUUUGCGGUGGGUACGGGCUGGCUUGAGUGCAGUAGGGGAGGCUGGAAUUCCUGGUGUAGCGGUGGAAUGCGCAGAUAUCAGGAGGAAUACCGGUGGCGAAGGCGGGUCUCUGGGCUGUUACUGACGCUGAGGAGCGAAAGCGUGGGGAGCGAACAGG
RNAcentral lists this ribosomal RNA (420 nucleotides) under Fusobacteriota bacterium. RNAcentral describes it as "Fusobacteria bacterium partial 16S ribosomal RNA". It matches the Rfam family "Bacterial small subunit ribosomal RNA", at positions 355 to 776 of the family's 1533-position model. Lineage: Bacteria; Fusobacteriati; Fusobacteriota. The record is from RNAcentral.